AAAUUGAAGAGUUUGAUCAUGGCUCAGAUUGAACGCUGGCGGCAGGCCUAACACAUGCAAGUCGAACGGUAACAGGAAGCAGCUUGCUGCUUUGCUGACGAGUGGCGGACGGGUGAGUAAUGUCUGGGAAACUGCCUGAUGGAGGGGGAUAACUACUGGAAACGGUAGCUAAUACCGCAUAAC
RNAcentral lists this ribosomal RNA (183 nucleotides) under Escherichia coli. RNAcentral describes it as "partial 16S ribosomal RNA". It matches the Rfam family "Bacterial small subunit ribosomal RNA", at positions 1 to 177 of the family's 1533-position model. The record is from RNAcentral. RNAcentral also lists the same sequence under 2 other names. Lineage: Bacteria; Pseudomonadati; Pseudomonadota; Gammaproteobacteria; Enterobacterales; Enterobacteriaceae.